GACGAACGCUGGCGGCGUGCUUAACACAUGCAAGUCGAACGGAAAGGCCCUGCUUUUGUGGGGUGCUCGAGUGGCGAACGGGUGAGUAACACGUGAGUAACCUGCCCUUGACUUUGGGAUAACUUCAGGAAACUGGGGCGAAUACCGGAUAUGAGCUCCUGCUGCAUGGUGGGGGUUGGAAAGUUUCGGCGGUUGGGGAUGGACUCGCGGCUUAUCAGCUUGUUGGUGGGGUAGUGGCUUACCAAGGCUUUGACGGGUAGCCCGCCUGAGAGGGUGACCGGCCACCUUGGGACUGAGAUACGGCCCAGACUCCUACGGGAGGCAGCAGUGGGGAGUAUUGCACAAUGGCCGGAAGCCUGAUGCAGAAACGCUGCGUGCGGGAUAACGGCCUUCGGGUUGUGAACCGCUUUCGACUGUGACGAAGCGUGAGUGACGGUAAUGGGUAAAGAAGCACCGGCUAACUACGUG
This 468-nucleotide ribosomal RNA is filed under the name uncultured bacterium. Its description in RNAcentral is "partial 16S ribosomal RNA". It matches the Rfam family "Bacterial small subunit ribosomal RNA", at positions 28 to 507 of the family's 1533-position model. The record is from RNAcentral.